GUUCCUGUAGUUGAAUUACAACGACGGUUUUUCAGGUCGUAGGUCUUGGAUAAAAGCCAUGCGGGAAUA
Molecule: transfer RNA, 69 nt
Filed under: Pandion haliaetus
Lineage: Eukaryota; Metazoa; Chordata; Aves; Accipitriformes; Pandionidae
Description: tRNA-Glu
Source: RNAcentral